UUUUUGCAUGAAAGUAAUAUAAAAGGAAGCGUUUGCUUCGCUAAAAGAUCGGAGUGCGCAACAUUAGCUAGUUGGUGAGGUAACGGCCCACCAAGGCGAUGAUGUUUAGCGGGGUUGAGAGAUUGAUCCGCCACACUGGGACUGAGAUACGGCCCAGACUCCUACGGGAGGCAGCAGUAGGGAAUAUUCCACAAUGGACGAAAGUCUGAUGGAGCGACACAGCGUGCAGGGAUGGGGCCCUAUGGGUUGUAAACUGCUGUGGU
This 263-nucleotide ribosomal RNA is filed under the name Mycoplasmopsis bovis. RNAcentral's name for it is "Mycoplasma bovis partial 16S ribosomal RNA". It matches the Rfam family "Bacterial small subunit ribosomal RNA", at positions 183 to 439 of the family's 1533-position model. The record is from RNAcentral. Lineage: Bacteria; Bacillati; Mycoplasmatota; Mycoplasmoidales; Metamycoplasmataceae.